Sapajus apella (tufted capuchin) is the source of this 572-nucleotide RNA transcript. It is a transcript of the gene named mitochondrial import inner membrane translocase subunit Tim10 pseudogene, with no coding region annotated. The record is from RefSeq and is a predicted model, not a curated record. Lineage: Eukaryota; Metazoa; Chordata; Mammalia; Primates; Cebidae. The transcript has a single exon.
GCCCACCUCUCACUCUCGGGGGUCUGGCGGGGUGUCAGCCCUUGGAGUGGAGAUGGAGACCAGUGCUGCCUCUGAGUACAUUUCCACUUUGAGCCGGUGUGACGUGCUUCUCGUGGGUUUGUCUUUAGGUUUUCCUAGUUGCUCAUAAAGAAGCAAACAAAGGGGUAACAUUAUAAUAUUUGUGAGAAGUUGGGGUCUCCAUGGGCAUUGUGAUCCAGGUAGUGGAUUAGGAGGCCAGAAGGAGAUCCCUUCCAGGGUGCUAGCUGAGAUGGGUCUGCUCAGGGCCCAACAGCUGGCUGCAGAGCUGGAGGUGGAGAUGAUGGCCGAUAUGUACAACAGAAUGACCAGUGCCUGCCACCGGAGGUGUGUGCCUCCUCACUACAAGGAAGCAGAGCUGUCCAAGGGCGAGUCGGUGCCUGGACCGAUGUGUGUCAUCCAUGAGCAGGUGGGCAGAAAGUUGACAGAGUUGUCUGUGCAGGAUGAAGAGCUGAUGAAGAGGGAGCAGCAGAGCUCUGGGCCCGCGUGAGAUCCCAGUCAGUAUACACCCUGGGCUACACCCCACCCCUCCCCAC